Oncorhynchus tshawytscha (Chinook salmon) is the source of this 1342-nucleotide long non-coding RNA. RefSeq lists it as uncharacterized. The transcript is spliced from 4 exons. The record is from RefSeq and is a predicted model, not a curated record. Lineage: Eukaryota; Metazoa; Chordata; Actinopteri; Salmoniformes; Salmonidae.
CUCUGAAUGCAAGGAGAUGGGUGGGGCUAAAGCUUAAGAGGGUGUGAACAAUGUUGAACGGGUGUAGACAAAGAAGUGCUCUCCCACAGAAACACUAAAUUGCCAUCUUCUCAAAAGUGAUUUUACAAGUUUAUCAACUUUCAAAGCAGAAUAACAUUCCCAUUGUACCUCAAAUGCAGUGUAUGAUAUACCCUUUUGUAGCUGAGUCUCUACUUUUAUCCAAUGUAAAAAACUGAAAUUCUAAUUUCGCUACGUAAGACCGAAUCCAUGUGGUGAGUCACAUAUUUGUAAGUACGGUGUCCAGUAGAGGUCGCUGGGCUCACAAUUGGCCCAGCGCUGUCCGGGUUUGGCCGAUGUAGGCCGUCAUUGUAAAUAAGAAUAUGUUCUUAAUUGACUUGCCUAGGUAAACAAAGGUUACAUUUAAAAAUAUAUAUAAAAUAAAGACAUACUUCUGAUAAAGUGAUACAUGCAUCGCCACACUACUUCAAUGUUUUGAUGCAUGCCUUGGAGCUCCAGUAUCAAAAGUAACAUCACUAGUGCUUAUAGUGUCCAUUUUGUCUCUUCAGUUAAGGAUGUUUUAUGGAAAAGAAAUAGGGGGGAAAAAUAUAAAAGUUAGGAAAAUUCAAGAAAGUAGAUAGUGGUGAAUGAGUUUUUGAUGUUUGUGUUAAGACACUAUCCAGGAUACACUUCCACACUCUAUCCCCAGAUGGCAGCAACUGGAUCUAGGUGCUGAGCUUAGCCUUUAUAAGCACAUCAGCUGCAGCCAAUUAGGGUGAUCAUCAGUCCCAGCUGGAAUAGCUGUUGGUUUUGUUUGGGUAUGCCCUUUUCUACAUAUUUAUGUUUUGUCAUCAUCUGAACAAAUAAUAGUCUGCUUGGACUGGCUUACCAAGAGGUCAACAAGGAGCUGGCCCUGGACAUAAGGAAUGGCUGAACAAACCAGAGCUUGAGUCUGGGUCCGCUCCUGAUUUCUGGGCCACAGAAGCAACCUGGGUUGGUAUUGCCUGAGAGGGUACAGUCUGCCCUUGGAUCUUCCUCAAGGAGCGGAGACACUCCCCCACCAUGCCCCUCACACACUAUGCUGCUGUCCAGUCAGCUCUGCAUCCCUCCCAGCAUGAACUGCACCAGCUCUGACAGGAGAAAGGACACGAGGGUUGUGAUUAUUAAGCACCAAACAGAAGAAAACUGACUUCAACAAGGCGGGACUACAUGGACACUUCCUAUAACAAAACGCUCAGUAUUCAUAGGCUUUUUUUUUGGGGGGGGUUUAUGAAUACAACCCAGAGGUGGACAGGUCAAAGUAGUGUGAACAGCUCACCGUGUGACAAUACUGUACCUGAGCGUA